AAAAGUCAGGUUAGUUUAAUAAAUAAAACACCAACUUGUGGAUUUGGAGAUGAAAAUUUUAUCACUUGAC
Molecule: transfer RNA, 70 nt
Filed under: Glaphyrina caudata
Lineage: Eukaryota; Metazoa; Mollusca; Gastropoda; Neogastropoda; Fasciolariidae
Description: tRNA-His
Source: RNAcentral